RNAcentral lists this long non-coding RNA (256 nucleotides) under Gallus gallus (chicken). The record is from RNAcentral. Lineage: Eukaryota; Metazoa; Chordata; Aves; Galliformes; Phasianidae.
GAAACAGAGGGUGAGGAUGGAACCUGUGCUCACAAUAGAUGAUGGAAGCUGAAAUCCAGAUAACCUCACUUUUAAAUUGCCUUGCUGUGGCUGUCCGUCAUAAAUUGACAGUAUAUCAAAAUCUUCCUCGAGGGCAAAAGUAUGAAACGACAGUUGUAUCCUGUUUCGUUCUCCUGUGAUAAUGAUCCACGUGCAGUUGGCAUAAUUUGGAUAACCGUGAGGAAAUCCAGGGCUUUCUAUAGUACCAUUCGGUCCC